Molecule: long non-coding RNA, 683 nt
Organism: Larimichthys crocea (large yellow croaker)
Lineage: Eukaryota; Metazoa; Chordata; Actinopteri; Sciaenidae
Exons: 4
Source: RefSeq, a predicted model, not a curated record
GAUCUAAUUAAAAGUUGAACUUGGCGAGUUCAGCUCUGCAUUCAUUGUUGGGGGUGUUCCUGUGCACUGAGAAUGCUCUUACAGGCUUUCUAUUGGCUGUUUGUCACAUGUUUCUCUGGAUUCUUGAUUGAUGAGAGGACCCUACACUUCACUACCCUACAGUAUGAUUGGUUCAACUAUAGAUGUGAAUAUGUGGAGCCAGAUUCUAACAGGGAAUGGUGAUUUCAAGUGAAACUUGUUUCAGCUCUCAGACUGACUGAAGUCCAGAAGAUGGAGGAAGAGGAGGACAGAGCAGAGUCUCCAGGAUCCAUCUGUCUGUCUAUGAAGAGUGACCGGUCCAAAGAAGAACCUCCAGACUUCAGUGAAGAACCUGGAACCCCAGACACAAAAGAGAGGAAGAGGAGCAUGUUCCUGUGGAGGAGCAGCCGUCCUGCGGUGUUUGGUGUCAGGACGUCCUGAAGGAUCCGGUCUCUACCAGCUGUGGACACUGGUUCUGAAGACACUGCAUCACCUCAUACUGGGACCAGUCGCUUCAUCAGGAGACUCCUCCUGUCCCCAGUGUGGAGAACGAUCCAGAACAAGACGUGGACUGCAGACAGCCAGUCAGACCAGCACUGUCCAAAUGAGUGGUGGUCUGCAGGAGGUUUUAGAUGAACAUAAGAUCAGUCUGAAGACCAGAUGUG